Molecule: small RNA, 129 nt
Filed under: Marmota monax (woodchuck)
Lineage: Eukaryota; Metazoa; Chordata; Mammalia; Rodentia; Sciuridae
Source: RNAcentral
ACUGGGCACAGUGGCACAUGCCUGUAAUCCCAGCUACAUGGGAGGUUGAGGCAAGAUUAUAGAAAUUAAUUAUAUGUUCUAUGAUUCUAUUUCAUAGAACAUAUAAUUAUGUUCUAUGAAACGUAAGUU